AAUUUCAUGAAUCGAAAGGUGCCUAAAGGGGGAAAUCUUUUAGCAUCUUUUGACAAGCAGCUAAUUAACUAUACAAAGGAAUAAGUGAUUAUAUCUACAAACCACUUUCUUUUUAUUUGCUUUUCACAUCUUUUAUAGCAACAGGACUUGGAUACUUUGUUUUUGAAAUGGUCCAGCUAAGAAACACGCCAUCCAAAGAAAAAACUCUUCUUUAAGUGUGUCGGCAUCGAAAGUAUGGAGCGUGAGGAAAGUUGCUUUGUCCACAGUUCUAUACUUCAAAUCUGUCCAUAGUUUUGUCCACAAUAUGAUUGAAGAAUGAAUAAAAUCUCCUGCUCCAUGCUGGUUUCUUCAAGUAGGGAGAGAGAUUUUUCUAAAUCUCAAUAACAAUGAAAUGCAUAGCAGACAUUUUGACAUUAUGGGAUGAUGGGAUGAUGCUAGCAAAGUGCAUAUGUGACCAUGAGUCUAUGCAGUUGAGCAUUGUAUGGGCAUCAUCAUUCAUCAAUGUCAUUGGCAGGGGUAGAAGCAGAUAAAGAAAAGUACCCAUCAACAAUGGCAUCCAGAGAAAACAAUGAACAUUAAUGACCAAACUGCAUCAGAAAAAUCAAAUUCAUAAACCACCAAAUAGAGAAAAAAAUUACCAUGACAUUGCAACAUAAAAGGGGUACUUAGAAUAUCCCCAUGAAGAAAGCAAUUUAGAAUGGGAGGUUUGUUCUGGAAGCGUGAAGAUAACAAUUAUGCAUUCCCUAGCUUAUUGUCCUUAGGCCUAAUCUCAACACCAUGAACGACAAGGCCACCGCUUUGGAAAUUCAGCCUUUACCUCAUAACCACUCAUCCCAGUUCAUCUUUCCAUAUCUAUUGAAGAAGUCACCUAUCUCAAUUUCUAAUCCACCAUCUGCUCUCUCCUUUGGAAUUUCCAGAACAGGACAUUUCACUAUGGAUACCACUUCAAUGGCACAAAACCAAAACCUUUCAUGUCGUUCGUCGUUGUUGACGUCGACAAGGCCAGCAACUUCCUGGCUCUAGAAUAACAGAUUUUGUACAAAUUUUAAUCGACUCCAAGUGUUUAGUGAAACCUCUACAGGAUGGUUGUCAAAGCCGAAGGCGUAUCGCAGCUUGAACACAAGGUAAGCUGCAUAGUUUGUAUGUAACGACAACUUGUAGGUACUAAUCUUGCCACGGAUUUCAAGCCACCACACAUGAUUUAGCUUUGCCACCUCCUUAAACCUGUUCAUUGCGACAAACAGAACAUUCAAUAAACAAAGUGAGGAGACGAACAUAAAUUGCAACAUUUAAUAUGGGGAAAGGGGAGAACUUUUCGUGUAGAAACCUGAAUUCAGGAUGGGAAAUCCAAACCCAAUAAGCCGGUACAUCUCCCCAUGCAAUCAGUAGAUCCCUUGGAGCAAUCAUAUAGCUUAUCUUGCCACUCCUUUUGUCCAGUGAAAAACUCUAUCAUACAUAUUAACACCAAGUUUAGAUGUGCAAAUUUUGAGAACAAGAACCCCUGCCACUGCUCACAAGUUUAUAUUGCAUAAACUAAUUUUCUAGCUAAUGAAUAAAUAAAAGCUUUGCGCAUUAAAUUUCAGAUGCUGGCAAGUAUUAACUCAAAAAAUAAAACAAAUAACCGCUGCCACAAGAAUAGAAUAUGAGCAAAAUUUCAACUCUAAAUUCACUGUAGUAAAAAAUAUGUACUGUGAAAUAAAUCGCAGUUCUUGAUCUGUUCGCAGACAUAUGAUGGCUACAGUUGAAAAAUCAACUAGGAAGCCCCUUUUCCCCUUAAAAACUUUUUAUUAUAGCCAUGAAAUCAUGAACUGUUGGAUUUGCACUGGCUAGUGAAUCAUUUUGCACAACAUAUAUGUGUAUAAGUCCAUGGAAACAUAAUAAUUUUGAUAGAUUUCCUAUGAAAUGUGUUUUGUGUGCUAUUAUUUCCUUACAUUUAUGUAGGAUCUAAUUCCAACUUAUGGGACUCAUAAAAUAGCACUCGUCUGAACCUAAACUUUAGUUUAAUAGGUUCAUACAGUCAUGCAGCCAGUAAAUUUGGAGUCCAAAUGCCAGCACCUCUAACCUCUUACCUUUCCCCGGGCUAUGGCCUCUUUAUAUAAAAAAAUAGUCCUUGACUUAGAUUGAAGAUUACACGUCGCUAUGCUAUUAUAGAUUUGCAAGAAUUCAUCUUUAAAUUAGAUGAAGCACCCAACCUACAAUCAAUGGCAAUAGAUGUAGAGUUCCAAACUGAAUGCAAGGCUACAACAAACUCAAUACUUCAUUGAUGUGAGAUAGUACCAUUUAACCAACUAUGUAUUUCAAUUUAGGAAUCAUAUCCCAGAACUCUUAAAUUUCUUUAUGCAUAGAUAGAGAUGCUUAGACUUAGAAUUUUACAGCUACUUAUUCCCCCCAAAAAAUUACAGUAAAAAGGAUUUGAGCAGAACACUUUUGAUACCUUUUUGCCUUCAUCAACAAGGAUAGGAUUAUGAGAAAGAUAGAAAAACAGGUGUUUCUUGGAGGAGAAAGUGAGGGAAGAGGAGUCAGCCUGAUGAGCACAUGAUGCUGAUAAAAUGGUCUGAUAAUCAGAGGGCAGGAAACUGUCCCAGACGCUAUCAGAAGCAGCAGCUGAUCUGAAAGUUGAAGAAAGACGGGAGAAUCUGCAAACAUCAGCAGGGGUGGUGGCUGAAAGAAUUUCGGCUAUGCAUCCUUCGGGUAGUUCAUUCAAAGAAAUAGCUCCAACACCCUGCUGAUGAUUAUCAAGAUCAAUCUCUUCUCCGCUGUUCUCCUUCCUCUGCUCUUUCUUAGUGUCGUAAUUCUCCAUUUUUUCUUCUUUUGACUGCUAUACUCAGCAGUUGCCGGGUUUGUCUUAAAAAAAGUACGAGGAUGGAAAACGAAACCUUAGCAGUUAAGUUUAUGAAAAUCGCGUGACCGUCUGAAAUCCCCUUACCCACGGUGACGGAUGGUAAUUUCCAUUUUAUACAGGCCAAAAAUAGGUUAUAUCGUCCAAUAAUAUUAUUAUCAUUAUCUAUUUAUUAAUUAUUAUGUUUAAUAUUUUAUUUAAAAUCAAACGAUAACAGAAGUAUACAUUGAAUUUAAAUAUAAGACUACCAUCUAUAUGUAGACAAAUUGAAAGAGAAAUUGAAUUUGAAUAUAAGAUUGCAUGAUUUACAUGUAGAUAAAAUCAAGAAAUUAUUUUAUGAUACUUAAAAAAGAUGAUAGAUAUCCGUAGUCAAUCAUAUUUACUAUUGGAGCAGUCGACAAUUGAAUCCAUGAGGAUAUAUUAUAUACGGCUCGAACCGCAAUCAAUCUUAUUUUCCAUAGGAGCAGUUGACAAUUGAAGCCAACUUUUUUCAUUAUUUUCAUAUCCGUGAUGGUUUGAAAAGAAUGCCUAGAACAAACCACUCGGAAAAUUUUUAAUGUAUCAUGCAAAAGUUUUAACGGAUAAACUAAACUUUGCUAGCUAUUUUUACAAAAAUAAUUAAGCUGAGAAUUCUUAAUUGGCUGGUUGUAAAUAGCCCCGGGACUAUGGAACAAAGGAUUAUCCCGGACCUACACCGAGGUAUUGACGGCGAUUCUCAAAUAUCGCAGAACAGAAUGUGAUACGAUGAGAUAGAAUGCAAUAGAAACAAAGACACAGGGAACGGGUUACCUGCUCUUAACGGUCAAAGCGAACCCUUUCAUUCUAACAUUCAAAAUUUUUAAUUUGAAAUGAAUCAAAGCUCAAAAGAUGACUCAACAUGCACACAAGAUCUAACUAUAACUUACAACAAUUCCUUGGGAAGGGUAAAAAAACCUAAAGACAAAAUAAGGUCCGAGCCUAUAAAAAAAGAUAACCAAGCAAGAGGGGGGAGAAAAGGUAGAAACAGGAAAACCAGGAAUUGACUGGAAUCCACAAUACCAAAUUAGUUUCUGAAGUCAUUACCAACAAAUUCUCCUUUUGUAUCCCAAGGACGACUUUCAAAAGACUUCCCAACGAUGCUUCGCUUCUCAUUUAUAGUCCCAUCCUCGCUCCGGUACUGGGGAAAGUAAUCGAGGAAUGUUUUGCUUCCUAGCUCAUCAGUGCCACUAAAAAGGAAGUUUCUCAACAAAUCCUAAGGAUUAAACAUCAAUAGUUAGGAAAGGUACUGCAAGGCAAGUUGACAGAGAAUCAUUAAAAUUAACUGAUUCAUGAAUAUACCUUAGCAAGCUUCUCACCAAUCAACCUUUUUAGAAGUCCAUGACCAGGAUCCUGCUUUCAUAUGAACCAAAAGGUCAAGAAAAUAAACAAUAACACCUGCAAACUUUUAAGAUUAAAUGCAACCAGAAAACUCAUGCUCUGGUCUUAAUCCUUUAUCCAAUAAUAUUGAAUCAUAUGCAUCAAUAAUCAGGAAGAACUUUUUCUAUGCCACCUGUUUAUCAGGGACACAAGACUGUCCUGGGAAAUCCAUGAAAAGUUAAGCCUUAAACUUGGUCUGAUGCAAGUAAUGAAUACAUGCAGAUGUCCAAAGUAUGAUAUUUGUAGGGAUCAAUUCCAAGCCCAUUUUUAGGGGUGUAAACAAAACAUGAACGAAUAUUGCUAUGUUUUUAAUCUAUUCCUUUAAUUAAUGAACCCCCAAAAUAUUGUUCAUGAUUGUUUGCUAAGUGUAAUAAACAAACAGAAAUCAAGUCUGUCCACAAACUGUUCGUCAAACACUAUUUGUUUACACCCAGGGUAUAAACAAAAUGAACAUGAAUGUAUGUUCAUGAUCUAUUCGUUUAAUUAACUUAAAUGUUAUUUGUGAUUAUUUGUUAAGCUUAAUAAAUGAAAAAACUUAGCCUUUUCAUGAACUUUUCAUCGAUCGUUCUAUUCGCUUACAGCCCCACCCAUUUUGGACUUUACACAUACACCCAAUUCAACUGUACCCAUAGGCUAAGUUUCAUUCUACUCUGAAAUUGGAAUAAAUAGAGUGAAAAGCCCUACGAUUUGAACAUAAGAUUGUUUAGUCAAACAACCUUUGGUACCACGCUAGAGAAAAGAGUAUUGCAAAAGCUUUAGUUGAUUAACAAUGAGUCAAUGACAUAUUUCCAUCCUCAAUAUGGAUAUGACAGAGAGAAGAUCCAAAAAGUUAAAUUUUGACUUUUUUAUAAUUUAAAAAGUCGGAAAUAUCUGCAAUUAAAACCAAUGGUGCUGAGUUGACUAAAGAAGCAAGAGUGGCAAGCAUUUUAGUUAUGUAUUUAUAUAUUAUCUUGGAAUGACAAACAAGGAUAGGUAGAUAGUUUUAUCCGCUCUCUCCCUAUUCAAAGGCCUAAAAAAUCCAAUUGCAAAGAUAAUAUUUUAUCUUAGUUCAUGUAUAUUUUCUAUUUUUUGCAACGAAAAAUCAACUCCAAAGGCCCUACCUGAAGUUAACAGACAUGAUAGGCUCAUAAAAACAAGAAAGACUGUAGGAGAAAGGGAAAACAUGGAAUAAUCACCUUUUCUGCUCUCCAUGUUAGGUAUCUAUGCUGUGCUUCAAGAUUGCACACAAUUUGAGAUGGAUCAGUAUCCUCCACCGCUUGCUCCAUUAGCUCUAUCCAUACCUAAUAGAGCAUCAGGAAGUACGAAAAAUAAGACAGUUUCCAAGAGACAAGAUAUGAAUAAUGCUAAUCAUUGUUCCUAAUUUAUGUAAUCAGGCAAUGACCACAUGUUUCAGAAGAAUACAUCUACCUUGUAGUAUUCCACAAAUGCAGAAUAUAGAAUUUCAUGUUUAGAUUUGCUUGAAGUAAACUUUGUCCAUAUCACCAUCGGUGAGAAAAACUUUAUAGAUUCACUUGUAAGCUUUCCUCCCCAAGGUAAAAGCUGCAUGAAAUCCGUGUUCAGUCACCAUGGCAUAAAUUUUAGAGACGAUAAACUGAUAUAAACAAUUAUCUAUAUCGGGGUUUACCAUAAUGUGCCAGUUCCAAUCAUCUCAUUUACCUCAGUAUACUUGAGACCUAGAGGAACUAAGCUGUCAUAAUACUUUUCCUUGUAGUCUCUUCGACUAGUGACAUCAUGCAAAGGAUUUAGGUCCCUAUAAUGAUUAAUCAAGGGUAAGUUCCAAAAUCGAGAGUGCUCAUUACAAUCCCAGAAAGAAAAUUUCUUUAGGCCUUCAUGAAUUAUUUGUCAAACAUUUGAUGUAAGCCAAUGAACAGAAUUGUUGGAUGCACAAACUUAGGAUAGAGUCUGGGAAAUAUAAAUAAUACAUAUACACAAACAAACAGUAAAAGCUACACAUAGGCUCCGUUUGUUUCACGGAAAAUGAUUUUCGGAAAAUGAUUUUCGCAUUUUCAGUUGUUUGUUUGGCAAAAACUGGUUGGUCAAUGGAAAAUAACUUACUAGUCAAUGGAAAAUGAGGUUAUUUUUCUAAAAAUUAUCUUACGGAUUUGAAAAGGGGAAGACAUUUUCCGGAAAAGAGCUAUCUAUGAGUAUAACUAUUUAUUAAUAUUUUUUAGCAUAAUUUUAUUUAUAAAUAAUAUUAUAUUAAUAAAUAAAUAAUAUUAUAUUAAUAAAUAAUAUUAAAUUACAGUAUAUUAAUAAAUAAUAUUAUAUGAAUAAACAAUAUACUAUUAAUAUAAUAUACAAAUAAAAAUAUUAAUAAAUAAUAUACUAUUAAUAUAAUAUAUUAAUAAAUAAUAUUAUAAUUUAUUAAUAAAUAAUAUAAAGAAUAACAAAUAGUUUUAUUUUAAGUAUUUUUAUAUUAAUAUAAUAUUUUAAUAUUAAAUAUUAUUAUUAAAAUCUAAUUAUUUUUUAAUAUUAAUAAUUUUAAUAAUAAAUAAUUUCAAUAUAUUUUAAUAAUAAAUAAUUUUAAUAUUUUAAUAGUUAUAUUAAUAUUAUUUGAAAAAAAAAAACAGAUUUUCCUGAAACCAACUAAACAACAGAAAAUAUUUUUCAUUAACUCAUCCAAACAACAGAAAUUCUCUUUCAAUUCAAAAAAUAUAAAUAUUUUCCAAAAAUCAUUUUCCUAAAGUCAUUUUCUAUAAAACAAACAGAACUUUAGUGGGCAAUAUAAAUGUCAUAUCAUAAAGGUGUUGAUCUAGCUCUUUCUCUCACCCUCCCUUUCUCUCUCCUUUCAAAUAGGAGGCAGAUGCCUACUAAAAGUAUAAGAAACACCAAACAAGUAAUUAAAGGCAGACAUAUACGCUUGGUGGUUUCAGUUGCGAUUGCAACAUCUUGCAAUGCGUAUAAAAUGUUUCUACUUGCACUCUUUGAUGCGCCAUAUGUAUCAUUAGAAUGUUUAGUGAUGAGAAGAACCUGCUGACCAAGAACAAGUACAGAAAUGGAAGCCAAAACCAGAUUUUUUUAAUCUACCAUGGGCAACAAAACCAAAAAAAAAAAAAAACUCAUUACACUAUGCUAGGAUGGCUAUAUCUGCUAUAAAAGAAUUACCUGAGUACAGAGCACUUAAAGAAAAGUAGUCUCCCCUAUCAUGUUCCACAAAUAACGAAAGAAAAUAACAAAACUUACAACACAACUAUGUUUGUAUUAGCAGCCGUGAAGAAGUUGCCACAGAAUAUGGGUAGAUCAAAUUCUGGUUUUGGAAAGGCAGCAAAAUCUAAUACCUACCAAGAGAAAGACGGAAAGGAGUUCGUAUUAGGAAAAGCAUAAACCACGUUAUAUACCAAAAUAAUCUAAAAAAAAACAUGGGUUUUACUAAUGAAAUAAUCAAUAGAACUAACUACCUAGGUCAAAACAAAAGAUCUCAACAGCCAAGACAUAGAGAGAGCAUUUCUUUUUUUAAACCCAGCAUCAACUUGUUCUACAACAUGUUUCUUAUUCUUCCUUUCCACACAGGACCUCAAACAGUUUUUGGGACAAAUUUAAUAAACUAAAAUGGUGUCUGAAGUAAUUUACUGCAUUAUGCCUUCAGAGUUUAAAUCUUUCUUUUAAUUGCUCUUUGUUAAAAAAUGAACUGUUACAUUUCUAAAGACUCCACACAUUAAGAAUGCAAUAAAAUACAGCACAGCAAGAUUAAGUCAUUUAGAAAACUAAAGAAUAAGGCUUUUAUCAAGACUCAAGAGAAUAAGAUGCAUUAGACUAGAGCCAAAUCACUGCUUGUCUUCUUCUAAUGAACUAUAUGAAGAAACUUAACUACAAUUAUCAUGAGAAAAAUGUCAAGAAUAAAUCUAAGAAAGUACAUAUAAUAAUAAGUUGUAACAAGUACAAAUAGUUAAGAAGAAAAACUAUUAAGUUUGUAUGUCAAGUUAUAAAACCCAUGACUAGCAUAAUUAUUUUUGCUGAUUUAACAACUCAAAACAUUAAGGUAACAAAUUAGAAGAUAAUACCUGCAUAGCUUCACCCUCAAUGCUCAUACUUCGAAGUAGUCUGAUUCUAGAAGUGUCAAAUGAUAGCAUUUCAAGUCUCGUUUUUCCAUCCAAUGCAAUCAUAGAACUAUAUCUUUCCUAAAAGUGAAAUUAAAGCAGCAAAAUCAACAUUAAGUCAUGAAUUCAUAUCACACUGCAAAUUUUUAUAUAUUGGUAUGUCAAUGGUUGUGAUGUUCAUCACAAUAUUAACCAAAACAACAAAAACAAUAAUGGUAGUGGCAGCAAGAAAUGUUGGAUUAGCCCAAAAUCCUUCUGUGUCUGGUUUGGCACCGACUCCUAAAAAUCCUUUGUUACCCAUGAGAAACCCCAAAAAGUUGAACUUGGCAAGCUCAAUUGCGGGAUUUUGGGCUAAUCCAAUGAUUACUGUCAACAACUGCACCAUGCUUCAAUAGAAAGGCCCUAAAGAAGUGUGCCCUUCAUGUGUUCCUCAUAAACAGAUAACGCACUCAUUUUCAUCAAUAAAGAGGCAUGGUAGAUUGCUACAGUCUUGAUGCUCUUGAUGAGAUGCUUUUGGAUCCUAAAAUAUUUCUGCUAUUUUUCUUUUCAAGCAAAAUGAACUCAAAUACUGAAUAGAAAAAACCCAAAGCACAUUCCUAAAGACAUUAUCUUGGUCCAAUUUUUAGGACAAUAAAUGGCCAGUCUAAACUACAAUAACCAAGACAACAUUUUUUCCCCAUGGAUAAGCAAAAGAUCAAUCCUUUAUAUGAAUGAAUUAAGAGUACUAAUAAUUUGUGAAGAUAUUGCAAAAAUUAUGCUCCAUUUCAGUCUAGCUCAUCAUGUUCCAUAAUUAACUAUCAAAUAGACACAAAAAGUGUUCUUUAAAUUUUUAUAGUGAAAUUGACUUCAACAUGGAAACUAGAUAAAAGCAACACAAGGAUUCAUCCACAUGGUAUCAGUAAUUCUUAUCUACAAAUCUCAGAGAUUUAAACAAAAAGCUCAAGACUGAAAUGGCAAAGAACCAGGACACAGGAGAAAAAUAUAUAUUAAAAACAAUAGUAAACCCAAGAAAAAUCAAAUCAGAAUAACCAAAAAGAACCCAUAAAUUCUCAUUAAAAAGUUCAACAUAAAAAAAAAAAAAAAGAAAAAGAGACCCUGUUACCUGGAGGGGAGAGGGAAGCAAAAGGGUAUGGCGUUUGGUUUCAUUGAGAGCAAAGUGAAUGAAGUUUUGGUAAGAGAUUGCAGAGACUUGAAGCAAGCAAUGCCCUGUCUUCUUCUUCCUCCAGUGAGAGUUGCAAUUAUAGUUAAUGGUCAUUAAUGGAGGAGGAGGCUUUAACAUUAAGCUUAAGCUUAAUAACGAUGAAGAAGAACAACACUCCAUUUCUUUUGAGACUGAAGAUUUAUUCAAGUGAAACUGCAAACUCCAAUAUUGUGAAUUGAAUUCAUGAUUUUUUAUGUUAGUUUCUGAAACCGUGGGUGUGUUUUUCCUUUUGAGUAGUGGACGAUUUUUUAUCGGUUUCAACUGGAACUAGAAUGAGGUUCUUUGUUCUUUGUGUUUCAGCCACGUGGGCAGAAACCUGAUAGUAAGAAAACCCAUCAUCUCAGCACGUGAAGGUGGCCCUCCACAUUAACUCAGUUACUUUAUACAAUACAAGCCCAAUGGAUAAUAUGUCGAUUCUGGUCCAUUAAGCUUUUUAUGUUGGUUAUAUAUUAGUUUGUGGCACACAGCCAAGUAAUAAUAAAGAUAAAUGUUAAAAUAGGAAAAAAAUAUAAUUAUUAGAAAAAGUAAAAUAGAUAAAAAAAAGAAGAAUGUAAUUUAUGUUUUGUAAUAGAAAAAAAAGUACGAAUAUCAAUAGAUAAAAUAUGAAAUGGAUAAAGCAUUUAUCAUCCUAAUCAUUUAUUUUUAUAUUAUAUUUAUUCUUAUAUUUAUAUCCGAUGGAUAUUUCAAAUUCAUUUUCAUUUUAAUUUCAAUGAAAAUAUAAUUGAGUGUGUAUUUAUAACUUUUUUAAUUAAAAAACAAUUUUUUUUAGCUUUUCUUAUUUGUAUUUGCAUAGUUAUGUAACUUUUAGAAAUAUAUAUUUUAAAUAGAAAUAUAUUAGAUCUAAUUAUUCUAAAUAAAAUUUUAUAUUGUUAAAUAAAAUUUAUUUAUUAAAUAUACAAAAUAUAUAAAAGGUACAAUUACGGGUUUAGAGCGAGUGUUAUGUUGCUCAUUCUUGUACUUAAUAAAAAUUUUAUAACUAUUCACAUCUCUGUUCUCAUCUCUAAAAUUUAAUAUUUAUCUCCAUCUUCAUUCAAAUAGAAAAUUAAUUUUUUUAUAAGUUAUGGAUAUAAAUAUAAAUAUGAGUAUAGGUAAAAUUAACAUCCCAAGAGUGAACAAAAAUACAAGUCUAAAAAGAGGUGAAUUUAAAUAUAAUUUAAAAAAAGUGAAAAAUUAAACUAUUUCUAUUAAUUUUAUAUUUUAUUUUACUUAUUUUUGUUUUAUGAAUUCUUGGUUGAUUUCGCUUCACAUUAUAUUAAUUUAGUCAUAGGGUUUACAAUUAAUAUAAAUUUUAAUAGGCUAAAUGUUUAAUUUAUCGAUAUUUAAAAGGGUUUUAUAACGAUUAAGGGCACAUUGUCUUCGAAAUCGUUACAAAUUGAAACGUUUUUAUGAGAUUAAACAAGUGUAGUAUUCAAGCUAUUAAAUAGCAUGAAAUAAUAUAUAACUAAUUGACAUGCCAUUGGCGAAGAUGACAUAACAUAAUAUUUUAGUCACGACAUUGAUUAAGAUGACAUAACAUUUUUCAAUGAAUAAGGUGACAUGGAUUUUUUUUGGUGUUUCUAACUGCCUUUUUUUUAUUUUUCUUUUAAAAUUAAAAUAAAAAAGAUUAAUGUCAUGAAUGAUUAUUUAAUUAUAGUUAAACGUUCAAUAUAAUAUUUAAAUUUUAAAAAUUUUAAUAUGAUAAAUAUAUUAUGAUUAUAUUAAUUUAUAUGAUAUUCAUCAUUAGUAUGAUUAGUUUUAAAUAAUAAUAAAGAGCAAACAAAUAAUUUUUAAAAUAUCAUAUUAAUUAAUAUGUUUAUAAUUUAAAUAUUAUAUUAAAAUAUUUUUGAAUAUAAAUAUUAUAUUAAAUAUUGUAUUAUAAUUUAAGUGUUAGACAUUAACCAAAAAUAAAACUUAUGGUCGCUUGAUAUGAUGGUUAUGGAUCCAAGCUUUUCCUUUUUUUUUUUGUUUUGGUCGAUAAAAGGAUAAACUAAUCAUUAAAAUAAGGUAUGGUACAAAAUAGUUAGCGCAAAGUCAACCAUCAUUCACGACUGUAAAAAGUUGGGAGGAUCAAAAUGCAUUACAAAAUACGGAUUGCUCGCAUCAGCAUUAGAGCUAGUGUUACAAAAGCCCCUUUUGUUAGGGUCAUAGCCACCACUUUUCCUUGCUAGGGCAUCAGCACAUUGAUUGGCUUCAUGGAAGAUAUACGAAAUCUUUUUCUGUUGCAACUGAUUCAACAUAAUCCUACAAUCAUGAAUGAGAGGUUCAAGCACAAGGUUACUAGAAUGAGUGCAUGGAGCAGUAAUGAGGCUAAUAACUGCAAUAGCAUCGAGCUAAAUUUCUAGCUAGGCAUUCACUUCGCUUGGUGAUGGCAAGAGUCGGACCAUCUCUAGGUGCCCAGAGCUCAGCUUUCACACUAGUAGCUUUUCCAAUGAAUCUGUGGAAGCUAGCUACCCAGUUGCCCAUGUGAUCUCUGAUAAUGGCUCCUGCACCAACCCGGCUUGGGUUACCAAUGGCUGAGCCAUUAGUGUUAAGUUUAUACCAGCCAAUAUUAGGGGCACUCCACCUGACUGGAAUGAAAGAGGGGGAGAGAACAGUGGGUUGGUGAUCAAAGAUGGCGUAAAACUCUGCGGCUUUACUCAAGGCUCGUUGAAUAAUGGAUAAGCUUAGGUUAAUGUCCCUGAAUACAGCGGCAUUCCUUGCUAACCAAAUUUCCUAGAGGAGGUGAAUGAAAAUAAGUUUCCAUGGGAUGCUAGAUCCAUGAUAAGACAGUUUAGAACUCAUCUGGAGUUCGAGCCAAAUAGUGAAAGGGACUUCAGAAGUGAUCAGGAGGGGGGUAGGGAUCUAUAGAUACUGCCAUAUGGGUUAAAUAUCCGGGCAAAACCUGAGGAUAUAGUCCAGGCUCUCUUCUUCGACCUAGCAAAAAGGGCAGGAGUCCUCCAAGGUGAAUCCAUAUCGAGCAAGAAACGUCUUAGUAGGCAGAAUUUGGUGCAUACAUUCCCAGAGAAAAAAGCUAAGUUUCGGGGAGAUGUUAUGUUUCCAAACCCAGCUAAAGUCUUGGUUGAUGCUCAGAAAUGAUAAACCUCGGGCAAGAUAGUAGGCGAAAGAGGUAGUGAAGAGGCCAUUCCUUGUGUGAUUCCAGUAGAUNNNNNNNNNNNNNNNNNNNNNNNNNNNNNNNNNNNNNNNNNNNNNNNNNNNNNNNNNNNNNNNNNNNNNNNNNNNNNNNNNNNNNNNNNNNNNNNNNNNNNNNNNNNNNNNNNNNNNNNNNNNNNNNNNNNNNNNNNNNNNNNNNNNNNNNNNNNNNNNNNNNNNNNNNNNNNNNNNNNNNNNNNNNNNNNNNNNNNNNNNNNNNNNNNNNNNNNNNNNNNNNNNNNNNNNNNNNNNNNNNNNNNNNNNNNNNNNNNNNNNNNNNNNNNNNNNNNNNNNNNNNNNNNNNNNNNNNNNNNNNNNNNNNNNNNNNNNNNNNNNNNNNNNNNNNNNNNNNNNNNNNNNNNNNNNNNNNNNNNNNNNNNNNNNNNNNNNNNNNNNNNNNNNNNNNNNNNNNNNNNNNNNNNNNNNNNNNNNNNNNNNNNNNNNNNNNNNNNNNNNNNNNNNNNNNNNNNNNNNNNNNNNNNNNNNNNNNNNNNNNNNNNNNNNNNNNNNNNNNNNNNNNNNNNNNNNNNNNNNNNNNNNNNNNNNNNNNNNNNNNNNNNNNNNNNNNNNNNNNNNNNNNNNNNNNNNNNNNNNNNNNNNNNNNNNNNNNNNNNNNNNNNNNNNNNNNNNNNNNNNNNNNNNNNNNNNNNNNNNNNNNNNNNNNNNNNNNNNNNNNNNNNNNNNNNNNNNNNNNNNNNNNNNNNNNNNNNNNNNNNNNNNNNNNNNNNNNNNNNNNNNNNNNNNNNNNNNNNNNNNNNNNNNNNNNNNNNNNNNNNNNNNNNNNNNNNNNNNNNNNNNNNNNNNNNNNNNNNNNNNNNNNNNNNNNNNNNNNNNNNNNNNNNNNNNNNNNNNNNNNNNNNNNNNNNNNNNNNNNNNNNNNNNNNNNNNNNNNNNNNNNNNNNNNNNNNNNNNNNNNNNNNNNNNNNNNNNNNNNNNNNNNNNNNNNNNNNNNNNNNNNNNNNNNNNNNNNNNNNNNNNNNNNNNNNNNNNNNNNNNNNNNNNNNNNNNNNNNNNNAGAAUUUCGACGAAAAUUUUUAGAAUUCGAUGAGAUUUAAUCGGAGUUCUUCAUCAGUUUAGAGAGAAAUGAGAGAAAAAGAAGGAAAGAGAGAGAGAGGGGAGGAGAGGUUUGCUGAAAAACAGAGGAAUUAACUUUUUAUACCCAGUGAAAACGACGUCGUUUUGACGUUACUGUGCCCAGAGGAUCCGCACGUUUUGAAAUCGGGUGACCCGACCAGAGGGCAACCUACUUUUCACCCGCGUUCAACUUGGGUGCGAGCCGUUUCUGAAGCCGAGCCGAGCCGUGUCUCCAAGCCGUUUUUUCUUCCUCAAGCCGAGCCAAGUCGCCAAGCCGAGUCGUUCCCAGGUUUUUUUUUUAUUAUUAUUAUUUAUUUAUUUAUUUAUUAUUAUUUAUUUAUUUAUUAUUAUUAUUAUUCUUAGAUUAGAAUUGUUUAAUACAUUUUAUUUUAUUUUUCUUUAUUUUUAUUUUAUUUUCUUUAAAUAAAAUUAAAAAAAAAUAUUUUUUAAGGAAAAGUUGAAAGUAUCAAUUUUCUUUAAAGAUAAGCUUUCUAAAAAAUAUUUUUGAGAAAAAAUUGAAAGUAUCAAUUUUUCUUCAAAAUAAGCUUUCUAAAAAUAUAUUUUUGAGUAAAAGUUAAAAGUACUAAUUUUUCUCAAAAUUAAAGUUUUUAAAAAAUAUUUUGGGAAAAAGUUGAAAGUAUCAAUUUUCCCUAUACAAAAGCAAUCAUUUUUUUCUUUUUAUUUUCUUGAAUUUUUUUUAAUGUUAAAUAAUCCGACGAUGGAGCCUCUGCAAGUGAAACAGUAGUUUUCUUGUAUACUCUUGAGGUGAAAAAUUUUUUUCAAUUUUUUGCUAAAAGUAUUAAAGUCAAUUGAGAAUAAUUUCCAAUGAUUAAUUACUUGGUAAAUUUUUAAGGUUUAUUGGAUAACACAAAAUUAAGCUGGUACCAUCUUUUGAUGGGCAUUGUGACGGUGCUAUAACUUUCCUCACACGUAACCGAACUCUCAAACCCUGUUCUGGUUAGUAAACCUGAACAUAUUCUUUUAGGGACCCUUAAACUUAGGUGUUCCUUGAAAGGGACAGAUUUCUUAAGUGGCUAAUCGCACCUAGAUAAGAAAAGAUUGGUGGCGACUCCUUCAAGUCAAUGUCUAGCGAUAGAUCUUCGGAUCAAGACAUUAUGACAACUUGGCAACUCCACUGAGGAUCUCUGAGAGUUAGGCCAGCAAAUAAAUUUGUGUUAUCCAAAAGCCUAAUAAAAUUGAACCUUUUUGUAUAUAUAUGUUAUUAUUCAUUCAUGUUUAUUUACUUUAUUAAUUAUGUCAUUCAUAUGCAAAUACAUAACAUGAGCUCUAUACCUGAGCUCCGUCCCUCUAUGAGGGAGUAAAGUACCUAUUGCUUUUGUGAGGUUUAAUGCCUCCGCAGUGGCUAGUGAAAUACUCUCACUCAAAUUGAACAUUUUUUGCUUGUAGCUUAUAAUAGGUGAAGAUUAGGGUGCCUUACUAGUCUGUGAUGGUAAUGAUGUAAGGAGCAAUUUGAGAACCCUUAGACUUUAGCCUUGAACUACAUAUAAGUGAACCUUAGAAGUGUCUAACCUUAAGAUAGAGUCAUUUUUACCCAAUAAUAGAUAUACCCUGAAACUAGGACACAAAAAGGGUAUUUAUCUAAUCAUUUUGAUUAUCUGACUUUGUGCAUAAUUUUCAUUAUCAUAUGUAACAUUAUACAUCGGUAUCACUUUUAGUUCAUCUGUAAAACUAAUUAUGUUAUUUGUCUGAUUUUGUGUAUCUGUAUUAUUUUUAUGAUCAUGUUUUAACAUUAUCAUUUACAUCCAUUUCAUAUUAGAUUUCAUCCAUGAAAAUGUACAUUUCAUUCAUGCAUCAACGUAUCAUACAUAAAGCAUAGCAUAGCAUUUUUAAUCAUAAUUAUGGUGCUAAAGAUUCAAGGAUAGCUCCAUCUAGCGAGAACCCUCCCUAUCCAUCGAUACAACACAAGAGCCAAAACCAGACAAAUGGAGUAAAAAAAUUCUCACAGAUUUGAGAAGCUAGAAAAAGCACAGGAAAAAAAUGAAAAUAAGUUGAGCAAGAUUCUAGAUGCUCUCAAUAAGCUGAAUAAAGAAAAAAGAGUUGAAGAAAAUACAAGCUAACAAGUUCUCCCAUUACGAGAAAUGACUGACCUUUUGUAUCCUUCAAGUUUUGGUCCACCUCAAGUCCAGUCUACACAAAAAGUUCCACCACAACACUUCACAUAUCCUACAUAUCCUGGAAUGCCAUUAGCCUCUAAUCCAAAGUAUUACCAUAGCUAUGUGAAUCCUAUCUUUACUGAAAACCUAGUUAAACCAAUUUAAAUCCCUGAUCUGGAUGAACUGAAAGGAAAAGACAAAGAAAAGAUAAAAGUGAAAACUCAGAAAACUCUAAAAUUAGUAUGCUAAAAACAAAGGCUACGGGCUAUGGAAGGAAUUGGUUUUUAUGGUUCAAUUGAUGUUGCUGGGCUUUGCUUAGUCUCUGAUGUGAUCAUUCCUCCUAAGUUUAAAGUAUCAGAAUUUAAAAAAUAUGAUGGCACAAAGUACCCAAAAACUCAUAUUACCAUGUAUUAUCGAAAGAUGACAGCCCAUGCUCAUGACGAAAAGCUACUAAUAUAUUUUUUUCAAGACAGUCUUACUGGUUCUGCUAUUAGGUGGUGUAUCCAGUACAGAACUCGCAUCCGUUCCUGGAGUGACAUGGCCAAUGAUUUUAUCAGUCAAUAUCGACAUAUCAUAGAUUUGGCCCCUGAUCGUUUGUCUUUACAAAAUUUGAAAAAAAAAAAGGCCAAUGAGACUUUUAAAGAGUAUGCCCAGAGGUGGAAGGAUAUUACUUCUCAAGUACAGCCUCUUCUGACUGAAAAAAAAAAUUACAGUACUAUUUGUCAGCAUUUUGAAAUCUCUCUAUUAUGAAAAAAUGAUAGGGAAUACAACAAAAAAUUUCGUCGACAUGGUGAUCUUUAGAGAAAUUAUUGAAAGUGCCAUAAAAAAUGGUAAGUUGAAAUGAGGAGAAACCAAGAAGGCAUCAGAAAAGAAAAAAACCGAAGCUCAAGCUGUGAGCUUUGAUAGAUAAUAAUUCAGGAGUUAUCAACCCUAUCCACCUCAAGGUUACUCUUCAUACUAUCCUAUUGUGAAUAAUGCUUUGUCCUAUCCAUACUAGCUAGCCCUACAACCAUCUUAUUUGUCCACAUAUCGAUCAAUUUUUAGCCCUCAAGAUCUUACAUAUAACCUUAACAUUCAAACUCCUAUAAGAGCCCAAAUUCGCCCUACUAACCCAGCAAGUGGUUCACAAGAGCAACGGAUUACUUGAAAAAAAAUUGUAUUUGAUCCAAUCCCUAUGACUUAUACGGAGCUAUAUCAAAAAUUCUAUAAUAGCCACUUGAUUUCCCCCAACUGUGUGGAGCUGCUCAAGCCAUCCUAUCCUAAAUGGUAUGAUCCUAUAGCCCAUUGCGACUACCACUAUGGAAUUGCUGGCCAUUCUACUGAAAAUUACACUACUUUAAAACAUAAGGUGCAAUGGUUAAUCAAUGAUGGAAUGAUAAGUUUUGAUCAAUGAAGAGCAACAACACCUAAUCAUAAUGCUCUGAGUGAAAAUCAAGAACACAUUGGUUAUAAAGGGUCCGGAGAGUCACAAUGAAUUGAGGAGCAAGAUAUCAAUAAAGAUUCUUCACUUGAUCGCAUAGGGGGACAAUUUUGGAGAAUGAAGAUAAAGCUGAUUGAAAGUUUCUUGUCAUUUUAAGAUUUUUUUUAGAGUAAUGUUAGGUUUCUUUUAGGCAAUAGGAUUUCAUUUGUUAUCAUUUCAAUAAAAGAUAAUUUAAUGUAUUUCAUUACAUUUUCUCCUUCAUUCAACUAUUGUUCCAUGCUUUGUCACCUUUUAUAACUUUUGUUCCCAUUCUUGAAUUUCGAACAAUGAAUGUUUAGACAAUGGCAGCAAUAAUUUUGAAAUUUAAUUUUGAGAACUUAUUCACAUUGAUUUGAGGAGACUAUUUGAGUAAAAGAAGCCAACUACUAGCGGAUGUGAAAUUAAUAUGUCUUAAAGAUGUGCAGUUUUUUAUACAAAUUUAUGAGCUUAUUUUUGCUUAAUAGAUGAUGUUCAAGGAAAGCAUUCACAUUUGAGAUGAAAAAUAAUCAUUUUUCUUUUAUCAUUUGAAAAACCAUUCAUUGCUACCCCUUUGAGCCUGCUAUGAUUUUUUAAAAAAAAAAACCCCGACCAAGGAUCACCCUCCACACUGAAAGAUAAUUUUUGAGAAAGAAAAUAGCCUAAAGGUCAAAAAGGUCUUAAAAAAAACAAAAAAAAAUGUCACAAAUGAUUUGGGGUAAAGAAAUGAAAAUCUCUUUAUGAAGAAUGAGAUAGAAAAAGGGAAAUGUAGUGAAAUGAUAUAGAGUGGGGUAAAAUGCUAAGCUGUAUCAAGUGAUGAUCCUUUGGUUUUGAACCCUUUAAAUAUAUAUAUUGAGCCUAUUUUAUCCAUUUCUUUCAUUACCUCAUACCAUGGCCCACAUUACAACCUUGAAUAGUCCAUUUGGAUCAAGUGUGAAUGCUCGAAUUGAAUAAUCGUAUGUUGGGCAAAUGUGUGCUCAUGAUGAAAUCAUGUUAUUACCCUAAAGAUUAAUGUCAACAAUGGAUGAAAGAUGAGAGAAAAAAAAGAAAAAAAAUGGUGAAAGGUGAAAAAAAAAUAAAAAAAUAAAUAAAAAAAAAUGAAAAGAGGAAAAAUGAAGACUCAAAUUAAAAAUCCGAAAGGGUAAUUUGGGUAGACCAAAUCUUUGAGCUGAAAGUUACAUGAACAGUUCAAAUAUAUAAAAGAUCAAGGCAUCUAAAGAUCCUCCAAAGUUGGGAUAAAGUUUGAUGAACUCAAAAUGAUUUUGACAAUCAAUGGAAUGAGUUUUUGAAAAAAAAAUUUGAAUUAAUAUUUAAAAUUGUCUGAAUAUUCAUUUGUCCCAAUGACAUUCAACCAACUCGUCUCUUUUCCCAUUUGCUUUUGCACUAAGACUCACUUCUCAUUGUUGCUUUUCUUUCAAUGCAUUAUCUGCUCUUUUGUUCUCACAUCCCUAAAAUGAAUCGAGAAAAUGUUUGUUUGCAUUGUGUUUGUCAAGAAUUGAAAUGAUAAUGAAUGAAUGAAUGAAUAUGGGUUUAAAGGAGUCUUGCAUUUUUUUGGAAAGAAAUCUAAGAUGAUAAAGAAAAAUGAAGAGAUUGUAGAAACCUGAAAAAGAUGAUUUAAGAUAACACGUGGUGUGAUCAAAUGAUGAAAAUGGUGAUGGGUUGGUCAACAAAUGAAUAGAGUGCAAAAACUUGAAUAAGUGCUAUGACUAAGUGACGAAUACAAAGAUGAAUUGGUCGACAUGACUUGCGAGUUAUGAUUAAAUGAUGAAAAUAAUCAGUAGACAAAGUUUGAUUUGGAAUGGUUAGGGUUAAGAAACCUAUGAGUGUAACCUAGUGACUGACAAUGAAAUUGUUCGAAAUGGUUAAUGCUGAAAUACCUAUGAGUAAUGACCCAGUGAUGGUGGAUGAAACUUGUUCUAAAAUUUGUUAGUGAUGAAAAGUCCAUUAAUGGUGGUCAAGUGAUGAUCGAUUAAUGAAACUUGUUUCAAACUAUUAAGAAACUGAACAAGGAAUAAAUGUAAAAUGAUAGAGUUUUAAGAGCCAUAUUACCACAAUUAUUUAGGAUUUCAUGACAUUAUUGACAUCCACAUUACAUGUAUCAUAUUGGCAUCGUUUCUUAAAUAGUACAUGCACAUAAUUUGAUGAAUUAAACUUUGUUUGGAGAUUCAUGGCACUAUGAGAAUCUAGGUUGUUGCAUUUACAUCAUUAAGAAGGUAUUUACAUCUUUGGUCAUGAUAUUCAUUCAUGCAAAUUUUUGAGUCAUUUGAAAAACAAAUUGUGAAUAUUUUGAUGAGAAUUUUUGAGAACUCAAAUAAGAAUCUUUGAGUUUCAAAAUGAGAAUCUUUGAGGAGUGAAACCCUAAAGUUCAUCGAAUGUGAAUCUUCGAACAAAUGAAAAGUUUUAAACUUUUGGAUGUGAAUCUCCAAAAUACAAAGCUUCAACUUUUUGGAUAUGAAUUUCUAAUGUUUUAAACAAGAACCUUUGAACUUAGAUGUGAAACUCUAAGCUUUAUUGCAUGUGAGCCUUUGAACUCAAAUGAGAAGCUUUGAACUUUUGGAUGUGAAUCUCCAAAAUUCAAAUGAAAAGCUUUAGAUUUUUUUAUAUGAAUUUCAAAUUUGCCAAAAAAGAACCCUUGAAAAGCCUUGAACUUUUGGAUGUGAAUCUUCAAAAUUCAAAUAAGGAUAUUUAAAUAUUGGAUGUGAGUUUUGCAAGUUGUAAAUGCAAAUCUCGAGAUAUUACAAAUUUGAAUGAAACUGAAAUUUUGAGAAUCAAAUUUCAGUAAAUUCUUAUGAAGUUGAAAGAUUCUUGCAAAAUUAAACCUCUGAAUGUUGAACUCAAAUUGUGAAUCCUUGAGUUCCUAUUACAAAAUUCCUUCAGUCACGAUUUAUAACUCAUUUGGACAUGAUUGUUAAGGAGCAAUUUAUAUUUCAAAAGUUAAAGUAUCUCUGUUUAGAGGAGCAAUUUACUUUUCAAAAGUUGAGGUGGAGGAACAAUUUACUUUUCAAAGUUGUGGUGCCUCUGUUUAGAAGAGCAUUAAUUUUUGAAGUCAUGGUGCUUCUGCUUAGAGAAUUUAUUUAUUUUCUAAAGUCGUUGAGCCUCUGAUUAGAGGGGCCAUUUAUUUUCCAAAGUCGUUGAGCCUCUGAUUAGAGGAGCCAUUUAUUUUUCAAAGUCGUUAAGCCUUUGAUUAAGGGAGCCAUCUAUUUUCAAGAUCAUGGAACCUCUGUUUAAAAGAGCUUUGUUUAUUUUUUCAAAGUCUUAGAGCCUCUAUUUAGAGGAGCUUUGAUAAAAAAAAAUGGGAGGCAAAAAAAAAUGUCAAGUUGAGUCUUGAAUAGGUGUCUACGUCUUUGCACAAUUCCUAUUUCACAGAAAAUGUACAAAGAGGGCCAGCUGUAGACACCCUAUUUAGUCCGAACCUAAGGCCAUUGGGCAUAAUCCAAUAAGGUUUGGGCUUAAGCCUAUUGGGUCUAAUUCAGGAUCUAAUUAGCCUAUCGACGAGAUUCAGCCAGAGUUUUUCAUCGGUUUAGAGAGAAAGGAGAGAAAAGAAAAAAAAGAGAGAGAGAGGGGAGGAUAGGUCUGCUGAAAAACAGAGGAAUUAGCCUUUUAUACCCAAUGAAAACGACGCCGUUUUGACGUUACUAUGCCCAGAGGAUCCGCGCGUUUUGAAAUCGAGCGACUCGAUCCAAACGUCAACCCGCUUUCGACCUGCAUUCAACCGGAGUGCGAGGUGAUCCGAGCUGAGUCGCGUCUCCGAGCCAUCUUUUCUUCCUCAAGCCGCGUCGAGUCGAGCUACCAAGUCGAGCCGUUCUCAAGUUUUUUUUUUCUUUUUCAUUUUUAUUAUUUAUUUAUUUAUUUAUUAUUUUUAUUAUUAUUAUUUAUUGAUUAGAUUAGAAUUGUUUAAUACAUUUUAUUUUUUUUAUUUUUUAUUUUAUUUUUAUUUUAUUUUCAUUUUUAUUUUAUUUUAUUUUAUUUUCUUUAAAUAAAAUUCAAAAAAAAUAUUUUUUAAGGAAAAGUUGAAAGUAUCAAUUUUCCUUAAAAAUAAGUUUUCAAAAACGGAUUUUUGAGAAAAAGUUGAAAGUAUUAAUUUUUCUUAAAAAAAAGUUUUCAAAAAUAGAUUUUUGAGAAAAAGUUGAAAGUAUCAAUUUUCUUCGAAAUUAAAGUUUUUAAAAAUAUUUUGGGAAAAAAUUGAAAGUAUUAAUUUUUCCUGUACAAAAGCAAUCAUUUUUUUUAUUUUCUUGAAUUUUUUUUAAUAUUAAAUAAUCCGACAAUGGAGCCUCUGCAAGUGAAACAGUAGUUUUCUUGCAUACUCUUGAGGUGAGAGAAUUUUUUUAAUUUUUUACUAAAAGUAUUAAAGUCAAUUGAGAAUAAUUUUCAAUGAUUAAUUACUUGGUAAAUUUUUAAGACUUAUUGGAUAACACAAAAUUAAGCUGGUACCAUCUUUUGAUGGGCGUUGUGAAGGUAUUAUAACCUUCUUCACACGUAACCGAAUUUUCGAACCAUGUUCUGGUUAGUAGACCUGAACAUAUUCUUUUUAGAGACCCUUAAACUUAGGUGUUCCCUGAAAGGGACAAUUCCUUAGGUGGCCAAUCUCACCUAGAUAAAAAAAUAUUGGUGACGACUCCUUUAAGUCAAUGUCUAGCAAUAAAUCCCCGAAUCUAGACAUUAUAACAAUAAUCAUUUACUUUUUAUUAGUUCUUAAUUUUUUACAUAUUUCAAGUAAUUAUUACACUAAUAUAUUGGCCUAAAAAUUAUUUCUAUGUCAACAAAAUAAGGUUUUUUUUUUAAAUAAAAAGGAAACAAUAAUUGUUAUGUUAUACUUAAAAACAUAUCAUAUUUUUUUAAUUUAUUUUUAAUCAUUUUAACAUAAUUGAUAAAGUAUUUUUGGUAAAUCAAAUAUGAUAAUGAUCAUCAUUCUUCUCAUAUCAUUCAUAAAGAUAAUGAAAAUUAAUAAUAAAAAAGUGUUGAAAAAAAAAUAGAGAAUAUAAGUUUAUAUAUUAAUUUGUCGAAAUUAAAAAUAUAUAAUAAUAAGGACAAAUAUAUUAAUGAAUUAACAUAGAAUAAAGACAUGAAAGAAAUGAAUAAAACAAAUAUAUAUAUAUAUAAUACGAAAAGUUAGUUGUAAUCAAUCUAAACAAAAUUUAACAAAAAGUAAUAGAUUAAAGAGAAACAAAUAAAUUAACCAAAUAUAUAAUAUAAAAAUAUUUGAAUUAGAACAUAAAUAAAGCAUUAUAUUUUUUCCCAAAAACAAAAAUAUAAUUUUAUCUAACUUCUUUAGUAACAUUUAAAUGUUUCAUCUUUUCAUAUAAAGAUGUAAGCUUUUAUUAUUUUAAUAAUAAUUACUUUAUAGUCAAUAAUUCAUUAAUUUAGAGUCAAUCACCAUAUAAGUUCUAAAUAAGUCUUAAUACAUUGCCAAUUCAAAUUACAGUUUAUUUUCUUUUACUUAAUUAUUAAUUUCAAUAUAAACCAUAUUUUGAGAAGUAAUAAAGGUAAAAAAAUAGAUUUACUUGUUAAUGAAUAUAACAUGGCUUUCACUUCUUUUUAACUUUUGUCAAUUUCUAUCAAAACCAAUAAAUCAUAAGUGUCAAACAAAAAAAUUUUAUCUUCUUCAAUUUUUUAUUCUAAUAAUAACAAAUAAAAUAAUCUUGACUUAAAUGGAUCUUCUCCUCUAUAUUCUUUAUUUUUGUUCUCUAAUUCUAAAUUCAAUGGAUAAUAAUUUAUUAAGCGUGCACGUGUCACGGACCUAAGAAAGAGUCAUGAAUCUCACAUCGAACAUAAUAGGAAGGUCUCUGAGGUAUAAAAGGGUUCACACCGCCUCCGCCUUAUGAGGUGCUUUUUGAAGGACAAAACCGUGAGGUCAUGGGAGUCAGAGCGGACAAUACCUUAUAAGGGUGUGAACCGUGACAGGAAGGCUGAUCUGGGACGCCGGAUGAGUGCAUGCCCGGGUCCCAGAGCCGCGCGAGUUCGGAGCUUAAGUCUCGACCUGUGACACACGCACGUGCAUACACAUACACACAUAUAUAUUUGGAACCAUAAUUAAAUUGAAAAUAUGAUAAAUUAAGAUUUAAUAUAUUUGAAUUUAAAAUUUAUGUUAAAUUUUCAAUCUUUGAUAUAUUUUGAUUUGAAUUUAAAUAAUUAUCCAAAAAUAUUAAAUUUAAAUAAUUUAUUAAAUAGAAUUAUUUGGCAGAAAAUAAAUAUUUAUUAAGUAUAUAUAUUUGGAAUCAUGAUUAAAUUUAAAAAGAAAAGAUAAAUUAUGAUUUAAUAUAUUUGAAUUCAGAAUUUAUAUAAAAUUUUCAAUCUCAGAUAGAUUUUGAUUUAAAUUUAAAUAAUUAUCUAAAAUAUUAAAUUUAAAUAAUUUAUUAAAAAAAUUUAUUUGAUAAAUAAAAUAAUAUAAGGUAUUAUUCUGUGUUAUUAAAAGAGACUAUCCAUGUACGCAUUCACAUAAAUAAUUUUUAUCAUAUAACCUUAUAUGUUAUAAUAUAAUAUAUAUAAUUUUAGAUUUGACAAAUUUACAUGAAUUAUAACACAAUAAUUUUCAUAUUUUACAUGUCUUAAAUAUAAAAUAGACAAACAUAAAUAUACAAAUUAUCAUGUUAAAAAAUGGCAUGUUUUGGUUUUGUAAAUCUUUUCCCAUUUUCAUAAACCCUACCAUUUUCAAAAUUUACUAUAUGUUAAGAUUUGAAGUCCUUUUUAAGUACAAAUGACAAAUACUUAACUCUUACUUUCAGGUUCAUUAACUCUCCAUAGGCACAAACUUUUUCCUAUCAUUGAAAAUGAAAAUGUUGAAGAGAAAUUAUCAAAUAUAUUGAUAAUGAAAAUUUUUUUAUUUUAUAAGUAGAGUUAAGAUGAUGACAUAUAUUUUUAUUAUAUAUUUAAAAAAAUAAAAAUAAAACUAAUUUAAAAAAAUAUAUGUUAUUAUCUUAAUCUCGUUUGUAAAGUUUGUAUUAAAUAAUUUCUAAAAUUUAAUUAUAAAAUGAAUAUAAAGCUCCGUAUUUUUAUAAAAAAUAAUUUUUAAAAAUAAUUUUAGUAUUUUUAUUAUUUAUUUGAUAAAAAAUUGAUUGUUCAACAAAAAAUAAUUUAUUAGUCAAUGAAAAAUAAGAUUAUUUUCUAGAAAUUAUCUUCCUUUUUUGAAAAAAGGAAGAUAAGUUUUGAAAAAAAGUUAUUUAUAAAUAAAACUACUUACUAAGUUUAUGAGCAGAAUUCUAUUCAAGUUGGACCUUAAAUAUGAAUUUUUUAAAACUCAAACUUAAUUUAAUCUAAUUCAAAAUAUUAUUAUAUUAAUAAAAAAUAUUUUUAUUUAAUUUUACUAAAAAAAUUUUGAAAUAUUAAUAUUCAAAGUCUUCUAAUAUUUUAAUUGUAAAAAUAUUUUAUAGUUCUACUAAGUACCUUGAACAUGAUAUUUUAAGUUUAAAUUUGAUUUGAUUCAACAUGAAAUAUUAUUAUAUUAAUAAAAUAUUUUAUUUUAUUUUAAUUAAAAUAUUAACAUUAAAAUUUUGUUGAUAUUUUAAUUUUAAAUAUUUCUAUUUUGUAUAUUAUUAAACAUAAAUAUUUUUAGUAUUUCAAUAAUAAAUAGUAUUAUAUUAUUAUUUUAAUAAUAAAUAAUAAUAUAUUAAAUAAUAUUUUAUUAUUUUAAUAAUUAAUAUUAAAUAAUAUAAUUAUUAUUUUCAUAAAAUGAAUAUUUUAAAUAAUUUCUUAAUACUUUUAAUUUAAAAUAUAUUACUUUUAUAUUUUUGUUAAUGAAUUUAUAUUAUUAUCUAAUAAUAAAAAUAAAUAAAUAAUAUUUUGUUAUGAUUUAAUAAUAGAUACUUUCAAUGUAAGAUAUAACUACUUUAAUAGUAUAAAUAUUUUAAUAUUUAUUAAUAAAUAUUACUAUUUUUAAUAUUACUGUAUUAAUAGAAAUAAUAUUUUAAGAAUAAUAAUACCAUUUUAGAUAUUUUAAAUAUUAAUAUAAAUAAUAAAUAUUUUGUUUUAUGUGUUUUUUAUAUUCAUAUAAUAUUUUAAUAUUAAAAAUUAUUAUUAAAAUAUAAUUAUUUUUUAAUAUAAAAAUUUUUAAUAUAUUUUAAUCAUAAAUAAUUUUUUAUAUUUUAUUAAUUAUAUCAAUAUUAUUUUUUAAAAAAUAAAUUUUUCAAAAGAAAUUAAAAAAUAAAAAAUACUUUUAUUAACUUAUUCAAGCAACAGUUUUCCAAAAAAUAUAAGGCCAAAGGGCAUAAAAAAUCCCUAAUUAUAAUUGAAAAUUUUAUGUAAGCCUUACAUUUUUAUUGUAAUCAAUCAACUUUUUCAAUAUUUAUUUGCAUCCAAAUAAACCCUUACAAGAAUAAAAGGUUAACAUAGUUAAUUUUUUUUAAUUAAGAUAAAAUUCCAUGUGAAAUCACUAAAAUAAAUGAAAGUUUACAUGUGGCAUAAUUAAUAUUUUUGAAAUUAAAUAAAAUAAUUUUUUUAUUUUUUUUGUCUUCUUGAUUUUCUCUUAGCUCUUUUUAAGAUAUCUUUAAGGGUUUAAUUGAUUACAAUUCAAAUAUUGAUUGAUUGAUUUAAUUUUUUCAUGUGGUUAGAUUUUGUCAAUUAAAGGUUUAAUUGAAUCAAAAUAAGAGAUUAAAAGAUUGAUUGAUUAUAAUAAAAUAUUAAGAGGUUAAAUUAUUAUUAAAAUAUAAUUUAAGAACAUUUUUAAACCUUUAACCAAAAUGUAAACAUUUUUAAAAAAUUAUUUUCUAUCAAAAUUUCAUGAAUCGAAAGGUGCCUAAAGGGGGAAAUCUUUUAGCAUCUUUUGACAAGCAGCUAAUUAACUAUACAAAGGAAUAAGUGAUUAUAUCUACAAACCACUUUCUUUUUAUUUGCUUUUCACAUCUUUUAUAGCAACAGGACUUGGAUACUUUGUUUUUGAAAUGGUCCAGCUAAGAAACACGCCAUCCAAAGAAAAAACUCUUCUUUAAGUGUGUCGGCAUCGAAAGUAUGGAGCGUGAGGAAAGUUGCUUUGUCCACAGUUCUAUACUUCAAAUCUGUCCAUAGUUUUGUCCACAAUAUGAUUGAAGAAUGAACAAAAUCUCCUGCUCCAUGCUGGUUUCUUCAAGUAGGGAGAGAGAUUUUUCUAAAUCUCAAUAACAAUGAAAUGCCUAGCAGACAUUUUGACAUUAUGGGAUGAUGGGAUGAUGCUAGCAAAGUGCAUAUGUGACCAUGAGUCUAUGCAGUUGAGCAUUGUAUGGGCAUCAUCAUUCAUCAAUGUCAUUGGCAGGGGUAGAAGCAGAUAAAGAAAAGUACCCAUCAACAAUGGCAUCCAGAGAAAACAAUGAACAUUAAUGACCAAACUGCAUCAGAAAAAUCAAAUUCAUAAACCACCAAAUAGAGAAAAAAAUUACCAUGACAUUGCAACAUAAAAGGGGUACUUAGAAUAUCCCCAUGAAGAAAGCAAUUUAGAAUGGGAGGUUUGUUCUGGAAGCGUGAAGAUAACAAUUAUGCAUUCCCUAGCUUAUUGUCUUUAGGCCUAAUCUCAACACCAUGAACGACAAGGCCACCCUUUGGAAUUCCAGCCUUUACCUCCAUAACACUA
RNAcentral lists this long non-coding RNA (26738 nucleotides) under Durio zibethinus. Its description in RNAcentral is "long non-coding RNA (DZIB_LNC000488)". The record is from RNAcentral. Lineage: Eukaryota; Viridiplantae; Streptophyta; Magnoliopsida; Malvales; Malvaceae.